This 1002-nucleotide ribosomal RNA is filed under the name Triticum aestivum (bread wheat). Its description in RNAcentral is "partial small subunit ribosomal RNA". Lineage: Eukaryota; Viridiplantae; Streptophyta; Magnoliopsida; Poales; Poaceae. The record is from RNAcentral.
AUGGCCGAUCUCACCGCCCGCCUCACCAAGCGCCUCGCGGACGCCAACAGCGACCGCAACCUGGUCUUCUCGCCGCUCUCCAUCCACGCCGUCCUCGCGCUCCUGGCCACCGGCACCCGCGGGGACACCCUGGAAGAGAUCCUCCGAGUCCUGGGCGCACGGUCCCGCAGCGAGCUAGAGGACUCCGUGGCGCGCCUCCUGGACGGACCCCUCAGGGACAGGUCGUCGGAGCCUGACGGCGGCGGGCCGAGCGUGGCGUUCGCGUCCGGCGUGUGGAGCGACCUGACGCGGCCGCUGAAGCCGGCCUUCCGCGACGCCGUGGUCGGCAAGUACAAGGCCGAGGCCAGCUCCGUCGACUUCCGCAAAUACCCAGAGCAGGCGGUGCAGCAGAUCGACGCGUGGGCCGCGGCGGCCACGAGGAACCUCAUCCAGUCCGCCGUCCCUCCGGGAGCCGUGCACCGGGGCACCGACCUCGUGCUGGCCAACGCCAUCUACUUCAGGGGCAAGUGGGACGUGCCGUUCUACGAGAGCUCGACCAAGAACAGGCCCUUCUACCGGCUCGACGGCACCGCCGUCGACGUCCCCUUCAUGUCCAACUACGACCGCCACUUCAUCGCCGAGCACGACGGGUUCAAGGUGCUCCAGCUGCACUACAAGAGAAGUUCACGGUACCCUCGUAGUCGGAACCACGGCAUGUCCAUGUGCAUCUUCCUCCCGGACGCGCGCGACGGCCUGGGGAGCCUGCUGGACAAGAUCACGUCGUCGUCCGCCGCAGGCUUCCUGCGCGAGCACCUGCCGACGAGCACGGUCUCGGUGGGCGAGUUCGGGGUGCCCAAGUUCGAGCUCUCCUUCCAGAGCAGCCUCGUCGGCGUGCUCAACGACCUGGGGCUCCGGCUGCCCUUCACCCAGGACGCCGACCUCUCCGAGAUGCUGCAGGAGCAGGACGACGGUUCCGGCUUGCCGUUCCUCGUGCAGGACGUCUUCCAGAAGGCCGUCAUCCAG